This is a long non-coding RNA of Ictalurus punctatus (channel catfish), 1042 nucleotides long. The record is from Ensembl. Lineage: Eukaryota; Metazoa; Chordata; Actinopteri; Siluriformes; Ictaluridae.
AAAAAAGCGUUGUCAAACCGGGAUAUGCGUUGUUCAAACUGUUUACCUGAUUUGUUAAAAUAAUCAAAACCAUAACCCUAGUUGAUUGGAUGGUUGAAGAACGCCUAUCAGGUCUGAAGACGCCCAUUGAUUGGGAAACGCCCACUUAUGCUCUGCAGAGACCAGUACACCCAACGCACUAAUCACCCUUUAGUAUAUACUGUUUAACUGGCUUGUCUAGUGCAGCAUUAAUAGUGUGAUCAUUCUCUUACAAGCUACAAUAGUUACCAUAACACAACAAUUCAGCUAGUCACCUUAAAACAUCAGUUCAGCUAGUCACCUUAAAACAUCAGUUCAGCUAGUCACCUUAAAACAUCAGUUCAGCUAGUCACCUUAAAACAUCAGUUCAGCUAGUCACCUUAACAUAACAAUUCAGCUCGUCAUCAUUACAAAACAGUUCAGCUAGUCACAUUAAAACAACAGUUCAGCUAGUCACCUUAACAUAACAGUUCAGCUCGUCAUAACAAAACAGUUCAGCUAGUCACAUUAACAUAACAGUUCAGCUAGUCACAUUAAAACAACAGUUCAGCUAGUCACCUUAACAUAACAGUUCAGCUCGUCAUAACAAAACAGUUCAGCUAGUCACCUUAACAAAACAGUUCAGCUCGUCAUAACAAAACAGUUCAGCUAGUCACAUUAACAUAACAGUUCAGCUAGUCACAUUAACAUAACAGUUCAGCUAGUCACAUUAACAUAACAGUUCAGCUAGUCAUAAUAACAAAACAGAUCAGCUAGUCACAAUAACAGUUCAGUGAGUCAUCAUAACAGUACAGCUUCACUGUGAAUAUUUCCAGUGUCCACGUAUACCCACAACUUGCGCUUUUGUGGUGUUUGUAAUCUUUACCCUAACGACUUGUUUAUUCUGUACAAUACAGACGUCUGCCCCAGGAGCCUACAAGCACAUUUUUCAAAAUAGGCCUUUUACUAGAUUUCAGGAUCUCGGUUGAACCUGUCAAGACUAAUCUUUUGCCCUGCAAAAGAUAUGGACUUGUUUAACCCUGGU